UCAAUGCCCCAUCCCUGGAAGUGUUCAAGGUCAGGUUGGAUGGGCUCUGAGCAACCUGAUCUAGUGGAAGAUGUCCCUGUUCAUUGCAGGGGGGUUGGACUAGAUGACCUUUAAAGGUCCCUUCCAACCCAAACUAUUCUAUGAUUCUAUGAAGCUUGAAAUGCAAAGAAGUUGUGUGUUUCACAUCUCUUUAACCAUCAUGUAUUUCUUACAGAGCUUCCAAUGAUGAGUAAAUUAAUGCAGAGCAGACCACAAGGAUGUCUCAUGUGACUUUUUUACUAUAUAAAAAUGCCUGUCUUUCAGAUACUGAGCUGGAUCUGGCAGUAGAGACUGUGAGCUUUGCUCUUGGUAUAACAGGACUAUGGGGGCUACAUAACUCACAUUGAUUCUCUAUUGGCAGUUACUGUGUUGGUAGGUAAAAAUUAGAUGAUGAUGCCUGAAUUUAUGAAUCCCCUGUGCACUGAGGGACUGCAGGAUAUAAAUAUGUAAGAGGACCUCCAGGAGGAAACGUGGGACUGGCAAAACCACACUGAUCUCAAGCAAAGGCAGACUUCUUUUUGAUGCACGGAGCCUUUGCUUGUGUUAGCAGUAAAUUCUUUUCUGUUCCAAAUUGAGACUGCAAAAUCUGUGGCAAGAAAAAAAACCCCACAAUCAGACUUCAAUACCAAAAGACUGGGAAUGAUUGCAGUUACUUAUAGAGAUAGGAUUGCUUGAUGAAAAUUGAGAUGUAGUGUGUGAUUAAACAUAUAUUUGUUUGCUAUACUCGUGGUUCAGUCCUGUCAUUAUAACAGCCAGUGCAGGUGUGUUACUACUAUCUGGAAGAUGAUGUCUGGUGGCAGAAUGAAAGGAGAAGCAAAAGCCUAUGGCUGUGUAAAAUGAUUUCUUUCUUUUUUUUUUUUUUUUUUUGGUCAAUUAGUUGUCUAAAUAAAAUAAGGUAUUUUAGAAAUGAUAGUUGAUUGAACAGCAAUCAGAAAUUAGGCUCCAAAAAAUUUAAACCUCAUGUUUUUAUUUGGUAUCUGCAGUGUGCAAGUGCCUGGUCCCUUUUUAUCUACUAAUAAUGUUUUAGCUUCCAUUCUCAUCUCGUCUCUCAUAAUCCCUGAAGAAUAUUCAUGAUGCCCUAUGAAUUGAGCUGGCUGGUAAGUUAUCUGUCUUUAUACCUCUGGAGAAGUUUGAUUGCAAGCUUUUCUGAGAAUAUUUCAUUCCUAGCACUUCAUUUAUGCCCAGUCUGGUGUUAAAGCCUCUGUGGACAUACCAGUGUACUAAAAUUGCAUCACAGCAUCAAGUGAAUUGGAUCCUGGAUAUGCUUUUAAAUUUAUAAAAAAACUUAAAUAUUUAGCUGUGGGUGAAUCCCAGCCUGUGGCACUGCUGUGGGUCAUGGCCUGCAGGGAAAAGCUGCUCUUCACCUUCUGACUGAUGCAUCUGUCAACUGAUGUUUUGCAGAAUAGUAAAUGGGGGUGAAAGGAAUUACCAGAGCACAAAUAGCGAUCAUGUCAUGGUUUUUUGUCCUGGGUAGCACGUUCUUAAACUUGUUAGAAUAAUGCCUAGUAUAAUCAAGCUAUACUUCACUACUUAAAUCAAGCUUACUUUUAGCCCAGUGCUUUUUGAAUUGAAAUGACUCGGGCAAACCUUUGUUUUGAAAUAAUUAUAAUUGCUUCUUACAGUUUUGCACACAAAUUUCAGUUGUAUCCUGAUCUAAGAAAUUUUAGCAUUCUAGUAGAUGGCUCUUCAAUGUCCCUUUUGCAAUCCCCAUUCAAAAAAAAACCCAAAGAAAACAAACUGACAGAUAGAGAAAUAGGACAGAAGAUUAUAGAACUCUAGUUUCUUUUCAAUAUUUAUUGUAUUUUUUCAAUAUUUUUCCUUUUCUAGGUUUUGUGGACUUAGGCUCUGUCCCUCUCAACCUCUUGUGUUUCCUCGUGCACUCCAGUCAGCACUCUGUCAGAAGGCUUGACUCAUAUUUACCUUACAAUUUAGAACUGAUUCUCCUUGCAAACAUUUGAAACAAAAAAAAACCCAAACCAAAACAAAACAAAAAAAAAAGGAACUGAAUGAUAUUUCACUUUUUCCUGUGUUUCUAUACUUUUAAAUUGAAGUGUUUAGGAAGCUGGGUCUUAAUUAGCUUUUAGUGGAGGUGAGAUAGAAAAGUAUUUGUGUACCUGCCCAUUAUUUUUGCCUGAAAACACCUUUUUGGGUGUCACCUGACUCACCUCAGUGCCUUCUGAGAUACCUGCUGCUUUGCAAGGCUCACAUGCAAUAUUUGUGAGACUUAGUAAUACCACGCGACAAGAAAGGCAGAGCAGGAUGAAAAUCAAUUGUGUUCUCAGAAAAGGAGUUCAGUGCCUGCUUUUCAGCAUGUGAUUUGGGUUGAGAGAAGGAGGAUUGAAAGAAUAGUUCUGGUAUUUUGUUCAUUGGUCAUCUCAUGAAGAACUGCACAGCACUGCAUCUUCUGGAUAGAGAAGGGCAGACCUUUGGGACCUGAAGACUGGUAAGACACUGGUGCAACUUUUCUUUGCUGGCCUUAGUGCCCCUUGCAGUGUUAAAAGUUUUGCUUUUCUAGCUUUUUUCUUCCUCCUGAUGUUUUGCCAGCAUUACAGAUGGGAAGUAUUAGCAUGUUCUUAACAACAACCACCCCCCCACCCCCCCUCAAUACCUAGAAGUUUAUGAGAAGAUGGACUUUCUUCAGUAAAGCUGUUACUGUGGAUGUCAUAGGGAGCUGGGACAGGAAUCCCCAUCCCUGCAUGGAGCCACUGAGGUGCUGAAUGGAGCUGACUGUGCUGAAUUAUCAUCUUUCAGGUCUGAUGGAGCAGUGUUACAUCAGGAUGCUCACAGAUGUGUCCAAGCUGUUUGCAGAGUGGAUGUAACUUUGAAAGCAGUGUGAUCAUACUAAUCUUCUGCUUGAUAGCAGAAGCUUGGACCUGAGGUGGCUUGACCUGUGCCUGCAGCUUCUCCUGCUUUGUUCACAAAUGUGUUGGGCCCUGUACACCUGCAUGCUUUCCAGUUUUUCUCAAGAGUCUGGUGAGAUGGAAGUUCCUGAUCUUGUCAAAACCCAAACCCAAACAAAAAAACCCCAAACCCGUAGCUUUGCUUGCAGCUUUUCAGCUCUCCAUAUGUGUUGCUGCAGAGGUCUAUGCUUGUCUCUUUGUGCUUCCUCUUUGUGUGACCCUUUCCCCUUUUUAUGAUGACUUCUCAGAACUUGGUCUUCCAGCCUCCUCCCCAUCUUACGUUUACAAUAAGUAAAAUCUUUUCAGUCCCCUCGUUACCUGUGGUGGGUUUUUGUCCAUGGAUAGUAGCAGAACCUCCUGACAUCACUUAGAGCCUUGGUUAAUGCCUGAGGUUUGGCAGCAGCCGGUAACGUUUGAGGUGAUGCUGCUUCACUGACUCUAAAUACCUUCUUGUUCUGUUAAGGUCUUCCCACCUCCGCAGUGCUGUUACCCUAGCGUUGCUGAGUGCCAACUCAGAAGAAUUUCCAUCUUCCAGAACAGUACAAGAGGCAGCAGAAAGGGUGAAAUGAAGCCUUUAUUGGCUCUGGGGUUUUGCUCUAUUGUCUGAGUCCUAGGUAUGGUAAUCUGCUUUUUGAUGCAAAUUACACUUCUUGUGACCCAAGAGUUUAGGUAGGUCCAGAGUUCAGCUUGGUUUGAGUGAGCUUUAGAGUUUUAUACCUACACACUCAUAGCAGAAACCUAGCAACCGUUUUUCUUUCUUGGAACAGUUAAUUUGUUGGUCACAUCCAUUUGAGGCAAGUGUUUUUCUUCUAGAUCCCUUGAUCUCUGGCCUGUGCUGGGUCAUCAGCUUGGCUUUAUGUAUGUCUCUUAAUCUCUUUAGGGUUUGAGAAAUGAAGAUUUCUUUGGUUUCAUUCCUUUUUUAGGGAAACAGCAUGUUUUGGUCACAGCUGUUAGGUAGCUCUUGAAUCUUAAAAUUCAUAGUUUCUCCAAAACUGGUGGUUGUUCUGUUUUCUGCUUUUGGCCAUUAGGCUUAGAAGAUGCUCUCGGGGGAGUGUGGUAGUGCACUGCCUCCUGUAAUAGUGCCUUGUUGAUGAUAUCUUGACAGGUAUCACCACUUUGACUCGCAUAGGCAACAAGAGAUCUUGCAGCCUGGUGGUUUUUCAUUCAUAUGAUGAAGGAAAGACACUGUGAUGGGCACUAAACCACGGACUUGCAGCGUGAACUCUGAUGGCAGUAAAUGUAAAACAUACCAUGGAUAAAUGGUCUUCUAGAAGAACCCCAGCAUCUGCCUGUCACAGCAAGCGAUCUGAGCAGUGACUUACCUGUGUUAGCAGUUUCAGGUGGGUGUGUUAUAUGUAUUUGCAGUCUUCUCUCUUGUUCUGUGCAGUGUACUAGAAACUGCACGUGCCUUGUAUAAUUUGUUUCCUACCCAGUCCUCUUGUAAUGUCCAGUUUUUCUAAUAAACAUAUUUUGAAGUCA
Aquila chrysaetos chrysaetos is the source of this 4418-nucleotide long non-coding RNA. RefSeq lists it as uncharacterized. The record is from RefSeq and is a predicted model, not a curated record. The transcript has 3 exons. Lineage: Eukaryota; Metazoa; Chordata; Aves; Accipitriformes; Accipitridae.